UCACACACAAAUGUUAGAGAUCUGUACUGGAUGACACUGACAGAAAACAAGCAUUUCAGCACCUACAAUUACAGUGUCAGGAGGAUAAGAGAUUCCUUCCGAGAAAAUAAAAAUGUAAACGUUCCUGUAGAAACUCAAACCCUAGAGAAUAAAGCCAAAAGAGACCUUACAGUAAUUCAGAGUAAUUUGUCAACAGGUCCACAUUGGCCAACUGACAAGUUCAUUACUGAGAAUCAAGAGAUGCCUAGGACC
This 252-nucleotide long non-coding RNA is filed under the name Homo sapiens (human). RNAcentral's name for it is "non-protein coding lnc-MFSD14A-2:1". Lineage: Eukaryota; Metazoa; Chordata; Mammalia; Primates; Hominidae. The record is from RNAcentral.